RNAcentral lists this ribosomal RNA (492 nucleotides) under uncultured bacterium. Its description in RNAcentral is "partial 16S ribosomal RNA". It matches the Rfam family "Bacterial small subunit ribosomal RNA", at positions 29 to 507 of the family's 1533-position model. The record is from RNAcentral.
AGUGAACGCUGGCGGUAGGCCUAACACAUGCAAGUCGAACGGCAGCACAGUAAGAGCUUGCUCUUACGGGUGGCGAGUGGCGGACGGGUGAGGAAUACAUCGGAAUCUACUUUUUCGUGGGGGAUAACGUGGGGAAACUUACGCUAAUACCGCAUACGACCUACGGGUGAAAGCAGGGGAUCUUCGGACCUUGCGCGAUUGAAUGCGCCGAUGUCGGAUUAGCUAGUUGGCGGGGUAAAGGCCCACCAAGGCGACGAUCCGUAGCUGGUCUGAGAGGAUGAUCAGCCACACUGGAACUGAGACACGGUCCAGACUCCUACGGGAGGCAGCAGUGGGGAAUAUUGGACAAUGGGCGCAAGCCUGAUCCAGCCAUACCGCGUGGGUGAAGAAGGCCUUCGGGUUGUAAAGCCCUUUUGUGGGGAAAGAAAAGCAGCAGGUUAAUACCCCGCGGUUCUGACGGUACCCAAAGAAUAAGCACCGGCUAACUUCGUG